GGUUCCUCUCGGAGCGGAGACGGCAAAUGGCGGACUUCGACACCUACGACGAUCAGGCCUACAGCAGCUUCGGCAGCGGCAGAGGGUCCCGCGGCAGUGCUGGUGGCCAUGGUUCCCGUAGCCAGAAGGAGUUGCCCACAGAGCCCCCCUACACAGCAUACGUAGGAAAUCUACCUUUCAAUACGGUUCGGGGCGACAUAGAUGCUAUCUUUAAGGAUCUCAGCAUAAGGAGUGUACGGCUAGUCAGAGACAAAGACACAGAUAAAUUUAAAGGAUUCUGCUAUGUAGAAUUCGAUGAAGUGGAUUCCCUUAAGGAAGCCUUGACAUACGAUGGUGCACUGUUGGGCGAUCGGUCACUUCGUGUGGACAUUGCAGAAGGCAGAAAACAAGAUAAAGGUGGCUUUGGAUUCAGAAAAGGUGGACCAGAUGACAGAGGCUUCAGGGAUGACUUCUUAGGGGGCAGGGGAGGUAGUCGCCCAGGCGACCGGCGAACAGGCCCCCCCAUGGGCAGCCGCUUCGGAGAUGGCCCUCCCCUCGGUGGAUCCAACAUGGAUUUCAGAGAACCCACAGAAGAGGAAAGCGCACAGAGACCACGACUCCAGCUUAAACCUCGAACAGUCGCGACGCCCCUCAAUCAAGUAGCCAAUCCCAACUCUGCUAUCUUCGGGGGUGCCAGGCCUAGAGAGGAAGUUGUUCAAAAGGAGCAAAAAUGAGCCUGCGGUUGGGAGGGAAUGGGGCGUGGGGGGUUAGAGCAGGACCACAGCCUGGUGAGUCCCCGGGCAGCCGUCCUGCAGCCGCCACUCCUGCGCCUGCCAUUGGCCUCCUCACAGCGGAAACACAGCUUGUGAGUGCAUGUCAGCUGUUAACAAGUGGUUUUUAGUACAUUCUGGGCUUUGCUGUAUCUAUCUAGUGCCUGUUUGUGCGUUUUUUUCUUUCUUCCGCUGCUUCCCCAUUUUCCUUCUGUCCUUUUUCUCCUGCUCCUUGUUUUCCCAGCAGCACACGGGGUUCCUCGGAGGAGCAGAGGUGGCCGCCGUGGGGGGGCGUUUGGGCUGCGGUGCUGCGUCAUUUUUCCUUUGCUUUCUCUUUACUUUAGACACUGGCCCAACUCCAGGAGUUUCCUUUCAUUCCCUCAGUGCUUCUCUUCUGACCUGCAUGUUGAGUUCUGUAUUGCUGGGGCUUCCAACAAAAACCAGAGUCACUGACAGAGGGAACUGCAGAGACCUUGUUGGUAUUCAGCUGUGAUGGAUAUAGAGAAUCGGAGGCACCUUGUUUUCACAACUAGGAUAAAAAUAUCUGCAGGGUCCUUUCCAUUCCUAUUUAGAGGGAGUCCUGGCUCCAUGACCCCCUCCCGAGUGGACUGUCCAAGCAGAUAGGCUCACACGAGAAACAGUGAGGCUGAAAGGGGGGGCCAUGGAAGAGCGGUAGGGAGUCCACGGAGAAGAUGCAGUGAAUGCUUGCAUGCAUUCACACGUGUGUGUGUCCCAGCUAGUUCACUCCUUUCGCCGUGCGUGGUGGAGGCUCGCCUCUCUGGCCGGGUGCAGUGAACGGCCAGCGGGUUUCUUUUCUGCUGGGCCAAGGCGCUUUGGGGGUGGAGGGGGUGGUGCUGGCGCUGCACUGGGCUGACUGCGGCGCUGACACAGCGUUUCCCCCCAUCCCUGUUGCCUGUGUGUUGUGUGGAUCUGUUCCUAGUAUAGGCAACAUAAUGAGAUACUGUGCUUCCCACCUCCCCUUCAGUUCAGAGCCAAAAUGGGUCUAGAAUCUGGCACUUUACUCAUUUCCUUUGAUAAAUUGUACUGUGCAGAGCUGUCAGGAACCUUCAGAUAGCAGUAGAGGACUGCAGCUGCCUAGGUCUGCGGCCACAUCUUGGGGACACACUGGAUUGUUCCCAUGUGCAGGGUUCAGCACUUACGUGGGAGUGCUAGGGGUUAGGCUUUUGAGCUUGAACGCCUGCGUGUGAACAGAUGAAAAAUCCUUCAGUACCCAACGGAAUGUGCUUAGUAUUUGGUCACCAGCCGUCAUCCUGGGCUUUUCCUACUGUGUCUUGUUACAAGGCCUCAGCAAUCCACAGAACUCUCUCUCCUUCCUUCCACCUGUCAGCUUCUCUGCUUCUGAGAUAAGAACCAUUUGUGUAACACCAACACUUAACUUCAGAAAGACAUGCAUUAUGUGGUGUAAUCAAACCCGAGGCUUUCAGAUGACCUACUUACAUCUUCAAUGUGGAUAAGAUAAAGAACAAAACACAUGCAUCUAAACUGCUGGGCAAUCCAGUUGACUUUUAAAUGUAAGAAUGGAAUUCCAAACACUUAACACAUUCAGCUAUAUGACAGAAAGUAAAUCUAUGGAUAUGGUAUUUUGUGAAUGAUCUUUUAAAUAAAAGAAAACCUUACGUAAUAUUUAAAAAAAAUAAA
Molecule: long non-coding RNA, 2408 nt
Filed under: Homo sapiens (human)
Lineage: Eukaryota; Metazoa; Chordata; Mammalia; Primates; Hominidae
Description: non-protein coding lnc-HIBADH-5:1
Source: RNAcentral